RNAcentral lists this ribosomal RNA (332 nucleotides) under uncultured Bacillota bacterium. RNAcentral's name for it is "bacterial SSU rRNA". It matches the Rfam family "Bacterial small subunit ribosomal RNA", at positions 28 to 351 of the family's 1533-position model. The record is from RNAcentral. Lineage: Bacteria; Bacillati; Bacillota.
GACGAACGCUGGCGGCGUGCCUAAUACAUGCAAGUCGAGCGGAUUGAUUCGGAGCUUGCUCCGAUGAUGUCAGCGGCGGACGGGUGAGUAACACGUGGGUAACCUGCCUGGCAGACUGGGAUAACGCUUGGAAACGAGUGCUAAUACCGGAUAGUCUUCUGAACCGCAUGGUUCGGAAGGGAAAGAGGCUUUCGCCUCACUGUCAGAUGGACCCGCGGCGCAUUAGCUAGUUGGUGAGGUAAUGGCUCACCAAGGCGACGAUGCGUAGCCGACCUGAGAGGGUGACCGGCCACACUGGGACUGAGACACGGCCCAGACUCCUACGGGAGCAG